CGAUGCAUAGCCGACCUGAGAGGGUGAUCGGCCACAUUGGGACUGAGACACGGCCCAAACUCCUACGGGAGGCAGCAGUAGGGAAUCUUCCACAAUGGACGAAAGUCUGAUGGAGCAACGCCGCGUGAGUGAUGAAGGUUUUCGGAUCGUAAAACUCUGUUGUAAGGGAAGAACAAGUACGUUAGGAAAUGAACGUACCUUGACGGUACCUUAUUAGAAAGCCACGGCUAACUACGUGCCAGCAGCCGCGGUAAUACGUAGGUGGCAAGCGUUGUCCGGAUUUAUUGGGCGUAAAGCGCGCGCAGGUGGUUUCUUAAGUCUGAUGUGAAAGCCCACGGCUCAACCGUGGAGGGUCAUUGGAAACUGGGGAACUUGAGUGCAGAAGAGGAUAGUGGAAUUCCAAGUGUAGCGGUGAAAUGCGUAGAGAUUUGGAGGAACACCAGUGGCGAAGGCGACUGUCUGGUCUGUAACUGACACUGAGGCGCGAAAGCGUGGGGAGCAAACAGGAUUAGAUACCCUGGUAGUCCACGCCGUAAACGAUGAGUGCUAAGUGUUAGGGGGUUUCCGCCCCUUAGUGCUGCAGCUAACGCAUUAAGCACUCCGCCUGGGGAGUACGACCGCAAGGUUGAAACUCAAAGGAAUUGACGGGGGCCCGCACAAGCGGUGGAGCAUGUGGUUUAAUUCGAAGCAACGCGAAGAACCUUACCAGGUCUUGACAUCCCAGUGACCGCUCUAGAGAUAGAGUUUUCCCUUCGGGGACAUUGGUGACAGGUGGUGCAUGGUUGUCGUCAGCUCGUGUCGUGAGAUGUUGGGUUAAGUCCCGCAACGAGCGCAACCCUUAAUCUUAGUUGCCAUCAUUUAGUUGGGCACUCUAAGGUGACUGCCGGUGACAAACCGGAGGAAGGUGGGGAUGACGUCAAAUCAUCAUGCCCCUUAUGACCUGGGCUACACACGUGCUACAAUGGACGGUACAAAGAGUCGCUAACUCGCGAGAGUACGCUAAUCUCAUAAAACCGUUCUCAGUUCGGAUUGUAGGCUGCAACUCGCCUACAUGAAG
This 1057-nucleotide ribosomal RNA is filed under the name Rummeliibacillus stabekisii. RNAcentral describes it as "bacterial SSU rRNA". It matches the Rfam family "Bacterial small subunit ribosomal RNA", at positions 277 to 1325 of the family's 1533-position model. The record is from RNAcentral. Lineage: Bacteria; Bacillati; Bacillota; Bacilli; Caryophanales; Caryophanaceae.